AUGCGUGUGGCUGCAAGGGAAGAACCUGAUUAGUAUGACUUCUUGAGGCCUAAAGUCACUGUGUUCCAUGGGGAGACGGGCAGCACUAUUCCAUGGAGGGUGACUGGGACUAAGGCCACUGACCGAACAGACUGAGGAAGGUUGUGAUGGCUAAUUAAUGCUUCCUGUCUACUCGGCCGGAUUUGGAAUCACAUAGAAGACACACCUUGGCAGAAUCUUUGAGGGUGCUUCCAGAGAGGUUUAACUCAAGAGGGAAGAUCCACUCUGUAGUCCAGGCAGGUCUCAGACUUAUAAAGACUCUGUCUCUUCCAAGUACUGACCGGAUUUAACAGCAUGUCCCACCACGCCGAGCCCAAAACACCCACUCUGAAUAUGGACAGCACUAUCCCAUAGACUGGGAUUCCAGGUUAAAUAAAAAGGGGGAAAGGAGGGCCAUUAUUAAAUCUGAUGACCUGAGUUUGACAUCUGGGGACCCACAUGGUGGAUGGAAAGGACCAACUCUCAUAAAGUGUCCUCUGGCCUCCACAGGUGAGCCACGGCAUGCAUGGAUGUAUACACACAACAUACAUUAAUAUGUAAAAAAGGAGAAAGCAUGAGCUUCUUUGAUUCUUAACUGCAGUUGUCUCAUGCUCCCAUGGCCAUGCUCUCCUUGAAUAAUGGACUGUGUACCCUCUGUGAUGGUUUAAAUAAAAAUGGCCCAGUAGGCUUAUAUAUUUGAA
This is a long non-coding RNA of Myodes glareolus (Bank vole), 719 nucleotides long. RefSeq lists it as uncharacterized. NCBI's taxonomy places the organism in Eukaryota, Metazoa, Chordata, Mammalia, Rodentia, Cricetidae. The record is from RefSeq and is a predicted model, not a curated record.